AGUGAAGGACCAAUUUUUUGAAGAAUUGAACGAGGAGAUUGGCAAGAUUGGAUCCAGGAGGGAGAAAUUGUGUUGGGAGAUCUCAAUGGUAGAAUAGGACGUCAAGUAAAAAGUAAGAUCGUCGGCCCUUUCGGAGAGGCGACAAUAAAUGAUAACGGAGCUCGUAUCAUUGACGUGUGUGAGCAAAGGGAGAUGAAGGUGCUCAAUGGGUUCUACCAACACAAAGAUAUCCAUAAAUAUACUUGGGUCCAGUCCACUCGCGGGUUAAAGUCAAUCAUUGAUUAUGUGGUGGUCAGGCAAAACACGGAGAUGAAGAUUCAGCAAGUUAGGGUGUGGAGAGGUCUUUCCUGCGGCAGUGACCAUUACUUCCUCGGGGCGAAAAUAGCUUUCCCAGUAAAAGGGAGCCAGGAGAACAGGCAAGCACAGGAACAGGUUCACCAACAAAAAGAUCGUGUUAAGCUUGUAAACUAUAAUAUUGACAGCUUGCAGCAUCCAAGUGUGAGGGCAUUGUACGGAAAGCGCUUGGAUGAGAAGUUGGGCGAAUCAAGGCACGGUGAUACCGAACAACAGUAUCAGUUCCUUAAGGAUUGUAUUCACUCGGCAGCAAUGGAGGCUCUUGGUAUUGCUGAUGGUAGAAAAGUUAGCGAAAAACCUUACUGGUGGGAUGAAGAAAUUGAGAAGGAGAUUCAGGAGAAACGGGAAAAGUAUCAUCAGUUCCUUUCCUCUAAAAAAGCACAAGACAAAGAAGCGUAUAGAAAAGCUCAGACGCAGGUGCGAAGGCUCAUCACCAAGAAAAAGAACGAAUCUUGGGAGAGGAGCUGUAACAAAAUAGACACGUACAUAGGAGGAAGGAAAAGUACUGAGAGCUGGAAGUUGCUGAAAGGGCUGCGAAGGGACAUGAAGCGGGACUUAAUAUCUCCGAUAUCCAUUGAUAAACUGGAGGAUUAUUUUAAAAAUUUACUGACAGAAAGGCGACCUGAAUUUCAAGAUGGAGGUGUAAGCUUGGAGUACACUAACGAUAAUAAUAACUUGGAGAUUCACAUGAAGGACGUGGUAAAGGCCGUGCGAGAGCUGAAGAACGAUAAAGCUCCGGGUCCGGGGAAC
RNAcentral lists this long non-coding RNA (1104 nucleotides) under Bemisia tabaci. RNAcentral describes it as "lncRNA ENSSSA3NGG008648". The record is from RNAcentral. Lineage: Eukaryota; Metazoa; Arthropoda; Insecta; Hemiptera; Aleyrodidae.